UACGGGGGGGGCAAGCGUUGUUCGGAAUUACUGGGCGUAAAGGGUUCGUAGGUGGCUCGCUAAGUCAGACGUGAAAUCCCUCAGCUUAACUGGGGAACUGCGUCUGAGACUGGCAAGCUCGAGUGCAGGAGAGGAACGCGGAAUUCCAGGUGUAGCGGUGAAAUGCGUAGAUAUCAGGAGGAACACCGGUGGCGAAGGCGGCUCUCUGGACGGUGACUGACGCUGAGACGCGAAAGCGUGGGGAGCAAACAGG
Molecule: ribosomal RNA, 253 nt
Filed under: uncultured bacterium
Lineage: Bacteria
Description: partial 16S ribosomal RNA
Rfam family: Bacterial small subunit ribosomal RNA
Source: RNAcentral